Molecule: ribosomal RNA, 447 nt
Filed under: uncultured bacterium
Lineage: Bacteria
Description: bacterial SSU rRNA
Rfam family: Bacterial small subunit ribosomal RNA
Source: RNAcentral
UCCAGACUCCUACGGGAGGCAGCAGUGGGGAAUAUUGCACAAUGGGGGGAACCCUGAUGCAGCAAUGCCGCGUGAAGGAUGAAGGUUUUCGGAUUGUAAACUUCUUUUGUACGGGACGAAGAAAGUGACGGUACCGUAAGAAUAAGCCACGGCUAACUCCGUGCCAGCAGCCGCGGUAAUACGGAGGAUGCGAGCGUUAUCCGGAUUUAUUGGGUUUAAAGGGUGCGUAGGCGGAAUGCCAAGUCAGCGGUAAAAUCGCGGGGCUCAACCUCGCUCCGCCGUUGAAACUGGCGUUCUUGAGUGGGCGAGAAGUAUGCGGAAUGCGUGGUGUAGCGGUGAAAUGCGUAGAUAUUAGGAGGAACACCAGUGGCGAAGGCGGCCUGCUGGACGAUGACUGACGUUGAGGCUCGAAAGCGUGGGGAGCAAACAGGAUUAGAUACCCCCGUA